CAGCUCUCCGAGUAGUGUGGACGUUUAUUGGGCCUAAAGCAUCCGUAGCUUGCUAGAUAAGUCCUCUGUUAAAUCCACCGAUUCAAUCGUUGGAUUGCGGGGGAUACUGUUUGGCUAGGGGACGGGAGAGGUCGACGGUAUUUCCGGGGUAGGGGUGAAAUCCUAUAAUCCCGGGAGGACCACCAGUGGCGAAGGCUGUCGACUAGAACGCGCCCGACGGUGAGGGAUGAAAGCUGGGGGAGCGAACCGGAUUAGAUACCCGCGUAGUCC
This 270-nucleotide ribosomal RNA is filed under the name uncultured archaeon. Its description in RNAcentral is "partial 16S ribosomal RNA". It matches the Rfam family "Archaeal small subunit ribosomal RNA", at positions 477 to 747 of the family's 1478-position model. The record is from RNAcentral.